GUGUCCGGAGAGGCCAACGCUUUCAUUAGCCAGCAGGAAUGGGCUGGGGCGCGUUUGUAGUUGGGAAUCCUGAGCCCGGGCUGUUGCUUGGAGGACUCGGGAGCAGCAGUGGAUUUCGGCGUUACCAGGAGAGCUAUGUAUAGGAAUGCCGCUAUGGAAAGACAUCCAGGACACCUUGUUAAGUGAAAAAAGACAUGCCACCAUUAGGGCUUCAUUUCCCUGCAGUCUUCUUUAAAUACCAAAACUGCCCUGGGAAGGAUAAGACAUCAGUUUCUUCAUACUUCAGAGCAAAUGGGAUUGAUUCCCAGGACCUCCUUUCUGUGGACUGGGUUUUUGCCUCCUCACCAAGAGACUGGGCUCCCUGGGCGAGCAGAGGCUGCUGGGUUCAGUAUCUGAACACUUUUGCUAAAGGUCUCUGGAAAGCUCCCUGUGUUAAUUCUCGAUGAGACUACGUCUGUGCCGGCCGCUUCCUGAGCCUCCUUCCAUGUGCAUAGGCCUGCUGCAUGCUGGAGACCUGCGGCACAGCUGCCAAGUGCCCCGUGUGGUUCUGUGAUCUUGGGACAGUCACUUCCUCUCUGUGGUUGUCAGUCUUCUCAUCCCUAAGCACUCAAGAAGCCCUUCCUUCUCUGGCUGUCAAGUCUGGACUCAUCUCUUGUCUUACACACGGACAGUUGUUUUAAGGAAAAGCCCCUGGUUGGACUUGCAGAUUGGGCACAGCCCUGGACGUAUACUACAGGUGCUCAUCAAGGCUUGCCUCAUCUGUUUACCCUCCAGGUCAUGCCCCUUUCUACCUCUACACCCUGUUGCAUUGCGGGCAUGGCCUCCGGAAAAGUCAAGCAUGGCGAAAGGAAGCGUGGCCCAGAGCUGGCACGCCACAGGAACUUGGAAUAACUUGCAGUGUCUUGCAGUAUUGUGAAACC
RNAcentral lists this long non-coding RNA (920 nucleotides) under Homo sapiens (human). RNAcentral describes it as "non-protein coding lnc-RPLP1-12:2". The record is from RNAcentral. Lineage: Eukaryota; Metazoa; Chordata; Mammalia; Primates; Hominidae.